CAAAUUUAGAGACAGUAAUUUCAACAUUGAUGUUGGUAAUAAUUGAAUAACUUUUGAAUUAUUAUUAUUGAUUUAAACUAACUUCAGUAGAUUUGGAUUUCAAUGUCAAAUAUUAGAAGUGGAAAGAUUCUGUUGGAUAUGCUCAGGUAGAUUAAUUCAAAUGGAUAUUGAAGACAUCCAGUGGCGGAGAUUUUUAAUACAAUGAUUUUUUUAAACAUUCAAGUCUGCCCCCUUUGGGGUAAUUCCGCUAAAAAGUUGCAAAAAUAGCUACAGCUGUAGGCUACAAGAGUGUAAUGACAAUAAGCCCUAUGUUUCCUUAUCUAAAAAGCCCAUGUAGUCUCAAUAACAGGUUCUAGCAGGUCUACAAAUCUAGCACAGUAAAUCUCCUGAUCCUGUUGAGUAUUUACUGAAGGUACUUUUGAAUAGUUUAGUAUCUUUAGAUGAACAACUCAUAAUAUGAUACAAAAAAAGACUACCAAUACAUUUUCCAAGGCUAACAACAACACAAAACUCAAUCAUGUAAUCAUAUGGCAUUAGAAUGUAUCUAAUGCAUAAAUAUUUAUAAACAUACAUAUAAAGGUUCGUUUACAACAAUCCCUGAACAUCUACAAAGGUGUAUCUGAAUAGCUAUCAAACUUGGAAAUGUCAAUUUCUGAAUUUCGCUAUUUCAUUAUUGACUUUUCAAGACUGUUUGGUCCAUUUUACACUAGCUCAAAAAGAGUUGUAUAUUGUCUGUGCCAUUCGUCCAUGGACUUCAAAACAUAAUAAUAAUGAUAAUACUCGUCUUCAUUCAUCACAAAAUAAUAUAUGAUAUCUCAUUUGUAUUCACAUAGAUUUAAAAAAAACCCAUGACAAAACGGCGAAGUAUCAGCUGAAACUAUUUUUCAACUCAACCCUGCACCAAGGAACUUGUCUUGUGAGGUCUCUAAUUUGUUAUUGAAAAGGAUUUUUUUCUCCCCUUUAAAACCUUCUUAGAACCUUCACUGCCAAAGGUGGUAUUAUAAAUCUAUGACAGAAAAUCUAGCAGGACACAGUUUAGUAAAAAUCGGAAACCAAGUCGUAUGUUUUCUGUAAGAAAACAUGAUGAGACAUGUCAGGGCACAUGUCAAUAAGUAUUCCAGGACACAUAUAUUCGCAGGCUGCUAUGAUUGAUUUAUCAAUGUCAAACUACACAUCAAUAUGUCUUCACACAAUCACAUGACUAUCUGAUAUAGAAUAAACUUUCUCAGGAACUCGAUAGACUAUUUGAAAUCAAACAGUUAUACAUACCUCUGGAACUUUUGAUUCAAGCUCCAAUAGAUUUCGUUUUGGAAUAAUGCAUAGAAGCUGCUAAUUCCAUCAAAAAUGGAGCCUGAUUGAAGCAGGCCAAAUACCACAAUUGCUUGUUCAGAACAACUAGGGAGUUGGAUUACUUCCAUGGCCUGAAGAUACAGGGAAGUGUUUAACUGACUUGAUUACAUACAGUGUUUUACUGUAUGUAAGAACUACGCUGAAAACUACAGUUUCCGCAAGCUUCUAGGUCCCUCCAGUCUAUCUUGAAGUACACUUUUCAAAAACUAUAUAAGAGUGAAAAAAAAGAAAGUGUUCACGUGGAAUACAUUUUCCGAAACGGUUUUUUCUGAAUGAAUGAAUCAACAUUAUUGCUACCCUCCUAACGUCUCAAGUAUUUUCUUGCUCGUAUAUCCCCAAAACAAAUAUUAAAAAAUGUAAUGUUCUCCAAUGAUUUUAGGUAAGUGAAAUACACUUAUUCAAAUAACCUUCAUUUUGUGUUUAUAGUCUGAUAUUGCAGGCAAGGCUUGGCUGAUAAUCUAGAUUCCCGAAUUUCCAUAUCCUAUUUUGGAACAUUUGAAAUCCCGAAGUUAAUCAAUUUCAAUUGAUGUGGAUAAAAAUGGAUUCAAUCUCAGUGAAAGAGUCACUCAUAGAGUUUGAAUCAAGCUGUCAAUCGGUUUCGAUCCCAGAAGAGAAGUCCUUUGGGAACAGUCUCAAAACUUCCACCCCUGAAUUGGAAGUUAUUCAGUUCGAUUUGUGCCCAACGGAAAGAUAUUUGAAAGAAAACUCAAUCUUUUAGCACCAAGCACUACGUUCUAUGAGUAGGAUUAGAUCAGUUAGAUCUAGAUGCUAGAGCAUCGUGACUUGAACGAACCAAAUGAAGAAGGACUCGAAGUUUUACGGGACGAAGAUAUGGCGAUAUGGAACAUUUCUAUAUAUGGAGACUAGGACCUGGCUGAGAGGAAUGUUGCGAAUCCGGAGCUGCUAAGUUGCACCGUUUCUCACAAUAACACCUUAGUUGUAGUUGCAUAAUUUGUAGUACGUAGUGACUAGUGAU
This is a long non-coding RNA of Leptinotarsa decemlineata (Colorado potato beetle), 2326 nucleotides long. The record is from RefSeq and is a predicted model, not a curated record. Lineage: Eukaryota; Metazoa; Arthropoda; Insecta; Coleoptera; Chrysomelidae.